Molecule: long non-coding RNA, 1259 nt
Filed under: Solanum pimpinellifolium
Lineage: Eukaryota; Viridiplantae; Streptophyta; Magnoliopsida; Solanales; Solanaceae
Description: long non-coding RNA (SPIM_LNC000014)
Source: RNAcentral
AAAUUGGUCUUCUAUGCUCACUUGCUGUCGGUGAAAUCAGCAUCAAUUACAUCGUCUCCAUCAGGUCCCUUCCCAGAUGAUGAUUCUGAAGGUCCAUCAGAACUGCCAGGUGCUGGACCAGCACCGGGUGCAGCACCAGGCUGGUUGUAGAGUGACUGGCCAAGCUGCAUUACUUCUUGGUUAAGGGCAGCCAUAGCAUCCUUCAUGGACUGAGUUGAGCCUCCUGAGAUUGCUUCUUUAAGCUCUCCAAGNAACACUCUGCAAUUUCCACACACUACCCUCUUUGGUACAGUAAAUAAUUAUUUUAUCAUAUGACAACAGAUGUACAUUCGUCUUUUGCAGUUUGCCUUGGACUUUGUAUAAUAAAUAUUGAAAUUCUCAUUGCUUCCUCAGGACAGUUAUUUUUUACUUGUGAUAAACUUGAACAUGAGAUUUUUCUGGAUUGAAGUAGCAGCACAGUAAAGGAUUUAAGCUUUGACAUAUUCCUGCACUUUUCUCAGAGUAAUGGACACAUUGAAGUUGCCCUUUCGUAUUCCACUUUUACAAUUAUGCUCUCCUUUCAAGACAAGAAUUCUUCUGUUACGAUCAGACAUGAGCUUAAAAAGAUAAAUAGAACUAUUCAACGUCUGUACUAAGAAUUAAAUUCAAAUUCAUUCACUCCAAUAACAGCAAGUAACAAAAAACACAAGGAGCUAUAUAUGAAAGGAUCCGCAAGGUCCCCCCUAAACAUAGAGUUAUCAAACAAUAGGCUUAGAGAACCAGAAACAGUUUCUCUAACCUUCUGGAUUUAACAUUUCUAGAGAUAUUCAUGGUUAGAGACACUCUUUCAUUUUGCAAAAUACCCACCUACCUCCACAUUUCUAACCUCUAGUUCUCAGUAUGAAUUAUCUUUUCAGCGUACCCCAUUCCACCAGAAAUUGACCCCCAAAAUCGUAGUUGUGCAAAAAGUUAAAAUCCCUUAUACACAACCUAAACACAGAGUAUAAAGGCUGAAAAUUAAAUAGACUCAAAAAUUGGUCUUCUAUGCUCACUUGCUGUCGGUGAAAUCAGCAUCAAUUACAUCGUCUCCAUCAGGUCCCUUCCCAGAUGAUGAUUCUGAAGGUCCAUCAGAACUGCCAGGUGCUGGACCAGCACCGGGUGCAGCACCAGGCUGGUUGUAGAGUGACUGGCCAAGCUGCAUUACUUCUUGGUUAAGGGCAGCCAUAGCAUCCUUCAUGGACUGAGUUGAGCCUCCUGAGAUUGCUUCUUUAAGCUCUCCA